This 496-nucleotide ribosomal RNA is filed under the name uncultured bacterium. RNAcentral describes it as "bacterial SSU rRNA". It matches the Rfam family "Bacterial small subunit ribosomal RNA", at positions 28 to 513 of the family's 1533-position model. The record is from RNAcentral.
GAUGAACGCUAGCUACAGGCUUAACACAUGCAAGUCGAGGGGCAGCGGGAUUGAAGCUUGCUUCAAUUGCCGGCGACCGGCGCACGGGUGAGUAACGCGUAUCCAACCUUCCGUACACUCAGGGAUAGCCUUUCGAAAGAAAGAUUAAUACCUGAUGGUAUGAUGAGAUCGCAUGGUAUCAUCAUUAAAGAUUUAUCGGUGUACGAUGGGGAUGCGUUCCAUUAGGUAGUAGGCGGGGUAACGGCCCACCUAGCCUACGAUGGAUAGGGGUUCUGAGAGGAAGGUCCCCCANAUUGGAACUGAGACACGGUCCAAACUCCUACGGGAGGCAGCAGUGAGGAAUAUUGGUCAAUGGACGAGAGUCUGAACCAGCCAAGUAGCGUGCAGGAUGACGGCCCUAUGGGUUGUAAACUGCUUUUAUAAGGGAAUAAAGUGGGAGUCGUGACUCUUUUUGCAUGUACCUUAUGAAUAAGGACCGGCUAAUUCCGUGCCAGCA